AGCGAACGCUGGCGGCAGGCCUAACACAUGCAAGUCGAACGAACCUUUCGGGGUUAGUGGCGGACGGGUGAGUAACACGUGGGAACGUGCCUUUAGGUUCGGAAUAACUCAGGGAAACUUGUGCUAAUACCGAAUGUGCCCUUCGGGGGAAAGAUUAAUCGCCUUUAGAGCGGCCCGCGUCUGAUUAGCUAGUUGGUUGAGGUAAUGGCUCACCAAGGCGACGAUCAGUAGCUGGUCUGAGAGGAUGAUCAGCCACAUUGGGACUGAGACACGGCCCAAACUCCUCCGGGAGGCAGCAGUGGGGGAUCUUGCGCAAUGGGCGAAAGCCUGACGCAGCCAUGCCGCGUGAAUGAUGAAGGUCUUAGGGUUGUAAAAUUCUUUCACCGAGGACGAUCAUGACGGUACCCGGAGAAGAAGCCCCGGCUAACUUCGUG
Molecule: ribosomal RNA, 434 nt
Filed under: uncultured bacterium
Lineage: Bacteria
Description: partial 16S ribosomal RNA
Rfam family: Bacterial small subunit ribosomal RNA
Source: RNAcentral